RNAcentral lists this transfer RNA (67 nucleotides) under Ceratina okinawana. Its description in RNAcentral is "tRNA-Phe". The record is from RNAcentral. Lineage: Eukaryota; Metazoa; Arthropoda; Insecta; Hymenoptera; Apidae.
AUUUAAAUAGCUUAUAAUAAAGAGUAUAAUAUUGAAAAUAUUAAGGAAAUUUUUUAAUUUUUAAAUA